GAUGAACGCUGGCGGCGUGCUUAACACAUGCAAGUCGAACGGAAAGGCCCAAGCUUGCUUGGGUACUCGAGUGGCGAACGGGUGAGUAACACGUGGGUGAUCUGCCCUGCACUUCGGGAUAAGCCUGGGAAACUGGGUCUAAUACCGGAUAGGACGAUGGAUUGGAUGCCAUUGUGGAAAGGUUUUUCGGUGUGGGAUGAGCUCGCGGCCUAUCAGCUUGUGGGUGGGGUAAUGGCCUACCAAGGCGUCGACGGGUAGCCGGCCGGAGAGGGUGUACGGCCUCAUUGGGAUUGUGAACCGGGCCCGGCUCCUACAGGGGGCAGCAGUGGGGAAUGUUGCACAAUGGGCGCCAGCCUGAUGCGGCGACGCCGCGUGGGCGAUGACGGCCUUCGGGUUGUAAACUCCUGGUGCGAGGGGCGCUGCGUUUUUGUGACGAUACCUUGAGAAGAAGCACCGGCUAACUUCGUG
This 468-nucleotide ribosomal RNA is filed under the name uncultured bacterium. RNAcentral's name for it is "partial 16S ribosomal RNA". It matches the Rfam family "Bacterial small subunit ribosomal RNA", at positions 28 to 507 of the family's 1533-position model. The record is from RNAcentral.